Long non-coding RNA from Pomacea canaliculata, 1728 nucleotides. RefSeq lists it as uncharacterized. The record is from RefSeq and is a predicted model, not a curated record. The transcript has 6 exons. NCBI's taxonomy places the organism in Eukaryota, Metazoa, Mollusca, Gastropoda, Architaenioglossa, Ampullariidae.
AUAUUUAGAACAGGAAGUACAACGCUGUUUUGUUUUGCAGGAAGGUUUAUGUCUUUAAGGACUCACAGUUUCUUAUACGUCGAAUAUAUUAAAGAACAUUCUUGACUGAGGCAAACACCUGUUUGACAGCGUGUAAAGGAGAAUUUUGUUGUAACCUGCUCCGUGGAGGCCCGACAUCGAGUGAAGUUAUUUACUCGUCAAACUCAUCACUCGACAACCCAUCGAGCGAGUGGUACUAACACAGGUACAUUGCAGUCAAACCUGAACAGAAAGUCAAGGUACCCUGCUUGGCGACUGGGUGGUGUUGGUAAUUUCCAGCCUUGGCUUUUGGCUAAAUCCAGCAAAGUAACUCACAUCAUGGUGAUGAGCAUGCAAUAUACCAGGCAGAUAAUUAACAAAAAGAGGCACCUUGCUAUCCAAAGUUGACUAACCUACCCAAGGCUUUUCACCUUUUUGUCUAGUAUCACCUGAGAAACACUUCUUUAAGCCUUUAUAAUAAUUUUGCCAUUUUGACUGGGGAAGACCCCAAGAGGUUCUGUAAGAAAUGGCAGUGGCAGCUUCAAGCAGACAGGCUGCAGGCGAUCGCAGGAGCUGGCCUAUUCAAUCCAAACAACAGCAUUUGCUGAGAUCACGAACUUGUUUUGAGGCUGAAGAUGUUUGCAUCAUACCUGAGAGCUUUAUUGCCAAGCCUGCUGACUUUCACAAAGUUGAUUGUGUUAGUCUUAUACAGAUUAUGAAGGUAAUACAGAAAGUGGGCGAAGACCCUCUCACUGUAAGCAAAGAUAUGCCAUACCUGACCAUCGAGGACGGUGUCACAGCUUUCAGGACUCGUGGCUAGGCCCUCCUGCUAACCUGAUGGCAGAGUGUGGGCUAUACAAAAUGUCAGAAGAUUCUGCCACCUGCUAUCGCUGUGGCAUCACUUUACGAAGCCUGACACCAACGACAUGCAUCUGGACUCAUCACCGCCAGUUUGCUCCAUGCUGCCGGCACCUGCAACGUGCCAAGAGCUGUAACCCCACUCACUUGGAGGGUGGUCAACAAAGAUUCAUCCGCCACCUGUCUGCAAGUGAUGCUGAAGACUCCGGAAUCCAAGUGUCCAGAGGCUAAUUGUGGUCUGAUCCUAUCUGGCCCCUUCUAAUCAGCUGAGGGAUUGUACCCUAAACUUGAUUGUUAAAUUUUUUUCUUGCUGCUAGCACAUCUGUAUUCCUACUCCACAUUUGUAAACCUGUCCUUUUUACAAUUUUAGAAUGUGGUCCUUUGUUAACCUGCAAUCAAAGAAUAGCUGCCUGUGCUGAAUCUAGCAUGUCAUUAUUAAAUAGCUGUCAGUGUUUGAAAUUAAAUUAUCAUCAAUAAAUUGUUUGGCAUAGCAGCUGAUUAAAGAUGUCAAAAGUGGAAGAAAAAGUUAUUAAUCACUGGCAAGAUUUAGAGAAUUUCUUAAAGUUAUAAAAUUCUAUAGCUCAGCCCUUAAUGGAUCUCUCCACAGGUUCAUUCAGAAUGUACACUUACACAUGCAGUAAAAACAUCACAAUGACACAAAAUGCAAUAAUUCCCAAUUUAGAUACAAGUUUUUUUAGUGAAUACUAAAUAUUUUGUUAUAGGUUUGUAUUUUUAUGUUUAACAUUGAUAGCAAGCUAGUUAUUUGUUUAAUUAAUCAAAUGAAAUGAAGUGAUUCAUAUAAAUGAAUUCAUGUUAAUUCAGAGUGAUUUAUUAAAAUUUUUUCUACAACAA